UAACGAAUCUUCCGCAAUGCGCGAAAGCGUGACGGAGCAAUGCCGCGUGUGGGAUGAAGCUCCUCGGAGUGUAAACCACUGUCAGGGGUCAGAAACACAAUGAUCAGCCCCAGAGGAAGGGCCGGCUAACUCUGUGCCAGCAGCCGCGGUAAUACAGAGGGCCCGAGCGUUAAUCGGAAUCACUGGGCUUAAAGGGUGCGCAGGCGGCGAUGUAAGUGCUUUGUGAAAUCCCACCGCUCAACGGUGGAACUGCUUGGCAUACUACAUCGCUUGAGGUUGGUAGAGGCUGCCGGAACCAUAGGUGGAGCGGUGAAAUGCGUAGAUAUCUAUGGGAACGCCAAAGGAGAAGUCAGGCAGCUGGGCCAAUUCUGACGCUGAGGCACGAAAGCGUGGGUAGCGAACGGGAUUAGAUACCCCCGUAGUCC
Molecule: ribosomal RNA, 425 nt
Filed under: uncultured prokaryote
Description: bacterial SSU rRNA
Rfam family: Bacterial small subunit ribosomal RNA
Source: RNAcentral